Molecule: ribosomal RNA, 274 nt
Filed under: uncultured bacterium
Lineage: Bacteria
Description: partial 16S ribosomal RNA
Rfam family: Bacterial small subunit ribosomal RNA
Source: RNAcentral
AUACGAAGGGGGCUAGCGUUGUUCGGAAUUACUGGGCGUAAAGCGCGCGUAGGCGGAUUGGUCAGUUAGGGGUGAAAUCCCAGGGCUUAACCCUGGAACUGCCUCUAAUACUGCCAGUCUUGAGUUCGGGAGAGGUGAGUGGAAUUCCUAGUGUAGAGGUGAAAUUCGUAGAUAUUAGGAAGAACACCAGUGGCGAAGGCGGCUCACUGGCCCGAUACUGACGCUGAGGCGCGAAGGCGUGGGGAGCAAACAGGAUUAGAUACCCUAGUAGUCC